CAAUAGCGUAUAUUUAAGUUGUUGCAGUUAAAAAGCUCGUAGUUGGAUUUCGGAUGGGAUUUGCCGGUCCGUCGUUACGAUGUGCACUGGCCAGUCCUAUCUUGUUGUCGGGGACUAGCUCCUUGGAUUCACUUCCUGGGACUAGGAGCUGACGAGGUUACUUUGAGUAAAUUAGAGUGUUCAAAGCAAGCCUACGCUCUGAAUACAUUAGCGUGGAAUAACACGAUAGGACUCUGGCUUAUCUUGUUGGUCUGUGAGACCAGAGUAAUGAUUAAGAGGGACAGUCGGGGACAUUCGUAUUUCAUUGUCAGAGGUGAAAUUCUUGGAUUUAUGAAAGACGAACUUCUGCGAAAGCAUUUGUCAAGGAUGUUUUCAUUAA
This 379-nucleotide ribosomal RNA is filed under the name uncultured eukaryote. RNAcentral describes it as "partial 18S ribosomal RNA". It matches the Rfam family "Eukaryotic small subunit ribosomal RNA", at positions 592 to 976 of the family's 1831-position model. The record is from RNAcentral.